GUAGAUGAUUAGUCUUGGGAGCAAAAUCAAUGAAAGCAGCAGUUAGUCAGAUGUCUUCUGACAUAAUUUUUCCUGUGUGCAGGUGAAGUAUUUUGCAGUAGUCUUAGGAGCUGUUGUUAUUUUCUGCUGGCUCUAAAGUCAAAAUUUGAAAAAAUAACUGAAGGAUUUAAGUGUGCUCAUGUGGGUGAAACAGUUAUAUGGGAUUUACACAGGAGGGAAAAAUAGAAAGGGACAAAAAUCUCAUAAUUUUCUCACCACAAACUCUCACUGAAACUUCCUAGGUUUUUUUGUUCCUGAGGACUCCUUUCUUCCCUCACAUGCUGCUUAUCUGGGUGAAGAAUCAUGGCUGGAAUUUAUAAAUGCUUCUCUGUUGUGCAAAGGAGCUUUGAUAGCAUGAAAUGAAUAACAGGACAAUGAUUGCUGUCUGAACAGGCUGGCCUCAUGGGGGCAGGUUUCAAGUGGCUGCUGUGUGGGAUACUGGCAGCAUGUGGAAUACAGGGCCUGAAGGAGAUGCUCAGCACCCAGCAUUACAGGAUUCUGCUUUUUUCUUGACUUUGGUUCUGCUUUUUAAACACUGACCCCAGGAGAAGCUCUGCAGCAUGAGAAGAAAGCUCUUCUGCUCUUUGUCCUUUGGAAUACAGAGAAAACCAGCUAGAGCCCCAAAAUGGCUUUUAUUUGCACCUACCUGCUGCCUCUCCAUCUCUUCCAGCUGGGGUGACAAAUAACAGGGCCCACUCUGGAGGUCACUGAGGAAAUGAUGCUGAGAAUUCACUCCCUGGACAAAGGUAAGGCUUGCCUGUCACCACAAAGUUGUUAAGAGUAUGAAAGCUAUGUUCAGUGUGCUGGUAAGAGAUGG
This 856-nucleotide long non-coding RNA is filed under the name Zonotrichia albicollis (white-throated sparrow). Its description in RNAcentral is "lncRNA (ENSZALG00000017218.1)". The record is from RNAcentral. Lineage: Eukaryota; Metazoa; Chordata; Aves; Passeriformes; Passerellidae.